RNAcentral lists this ribosomal RNA (529 nucleotides) under uncultured bacterium. Its description in RNAcentral is "bacterial SSU rRNA". It matches the Rfam family "Bacterial small subunit ribosomal RNA", at positions 777 to 1304 of the family's 1533-position model. The record is from RNAcentral.
AAUAGAUACCCAGGUAGUCCACGCCGUAAACGAUGAGUGCUAAGUGUUAGGGGGUUUCCGCCCCUUAGUGCUGCAGCUAACGCAUUAAGCACUCCGCCUGGGGAGUACGGUCGCAAGACUGAAACUCAAAGGAAUUGACGGGGGCCCGCACAAGCGGUGGAGCAUGUGGUUUAAUUCGAAGCAACGCGAAGAACCUUACCAGGUCUUGACAUCCCGCUGACCGCUAUGGAGACAUAGCUUUCCCUUCGGGGACAGCGGUGACAGGUGGUGCAUGGUUGUCGUCAGCUCGUGUCGUGAGAUGUUGGGUUAAGUCCCGCAACGAGCGCAACCCUUGUCCUUAGUUGCCAUCAUUCAGUUGGGCACUCUAAGGAGACUGCCGGCUAAAAGUCGGAGGAAGGUGGGGAUGACGUCAAAUCAUCAUGCCCCUUAUGACCUGGGCUACACACGUGCUACAAUGGACGGUACAAACGGUUGCGAAGUCGCGAGAUGGAGCUAAUCCGAGAAAACCGUUCUCAGUUCGGAUUGCAGG